AUUGAACGCUGGCGGCAUGCCUUACACAUGCAAGUCGAACGGCAGCACGGGAGCAAUCCUGGUGGCGAGUGGCGAACGGGUGAGUAAUAUAUCGGAACGUGCCCAGUCGUGGGGAUAACGUAGCGAAAGCUACGCUAAUACCGCAUACGAUCUACGGAUGAAAGCGGGGGAUCGCAAGACCUCGCGCGAUUGGAGCGGCCGAUAUCAGAUUAGGUAGUUGGUGAGGUAAAGGCUCGACCAAGCCGACGAUCUGUAGCUGGUCUGAGAGGACGACCAGCCACACUGGGACUGAGACACGGCCCAGACUCCUACGGGAGGCAGCAGUGGGGAAUUUUGGGACAAUGGGCGCAAGCCUGAUCCAGCAAUGCCGCGUGCAGGAUGAAGGCCUUCGGUUGUAAACUGCUUUUGUUACGGAACG
Molecule: ribosomal RNA, 418 nt
Filed under: uncultured bacterium
Lineage: Bacteria
Description: bacterial SSU rRNA
Rfam family: Bacterial small subunit ribosomal RNA
Source: RNAcentral